Molecule: ribosomal RNA, 411 nt
Filed under: uncultured bacterium
Lineage: Bacteria
Description: bacterial SSU rRNA
Rfam family: Bacterial small subunit ribosomal RNA
Source: RNAcentral
UGGGGGAAUAUUGCACAAUGGGGGGAAACCCUGAUGCAGCAACGCCGCGUGAUUGAUGAAGGUUUUCGGAUGGUAAAGCUCUGUCUUUGGGGGGAGUAUAAUGACGGUACCCAAGGAGGAAGCCACGGCUAACUACGUGCCAGGCAGCCGCGGUAAUACGUAGGUGGCGAGCGUUAUCCGGAUUUACUGGGCGUAAAGGGAGCGUAGGCGGAUGAUUAAGUGGGAUGUGAAAUACCCGGGCUCAACUUGGGUGCUGCAUUCCAAACUGGUUAUCUAGAGUGCAGGAGAGGAGAGUGGAAUUCCUAGUGUAGCGGUGAAAUGCGUAGAGAUUAGGAAGAUCAUCCAGUGGCGAAGGCGACUCUCUGGACUGUAACUGACGCUGAGGCUCGAAAGCGUGGGGAGCAUUUCUUG